GCCUCCGUGGCUCAGUGGUAGAGCAGCUGACUUGUAAUCAGCCGGUCGUGGGUUCAAGAGAGCUUUUCAUUGCGCAAGGCUCGGAUAAUCCCACCGGGGGCU
RNAcentral lists this transfer RNA (102 nucleotides) under Promethearchaeota archaeon. RNAcentral describes it as "Candidatus Lokiarchaeota archaeon tRNA-Thr". It matches the Rfam family "tRNA". Rfam says of the family: Transfer RNA (tRNA) molecules are approximately 80 nucleotides in length. Their secondary structure includes four short double-helical elements and three loops (D, anti-codon, and T loops). The record is from RNAcentral. Lineage: Archaea; Promethearchaeati; Promethearchaeota.